GAUCCUGGCUCAGGAUGAACGCUAGCGGCAGGCUUAACACAUGCAAGUCGAGGGGCAGCGUGAGGGUUAGCAAUAACCCUUGACGGCGACCGGCGCAAGGGUGCGUAACGCGUGAGCAACUUGCCCUUAUCAGGGGGAUAACCGGUGGAAACGCCGACUAAUACCCCAUGGCAUUGGUUGGAGGCAUCUCCUUCCAAUUAAAGAAAUUCGGAUAAGGAUAGGCUCGCGUGACAUUAGCUAGACGGCGGGGUAACGGCCCACCGUGGCUACGAUGUCUAGGGGUUCUGAGAGGAAGGUCCCCCACACUGGAACUGAGACACGGUCCAGACUCCUACGGGAGGCAGCAGUGAGGAAUAUUGGUCAAUGGUCUGACGACUGAACCAGCCAUGCCGCGUGAAGGUCACGGCCCUAUGGGUCUUAAACUUCUUUUGCGAGGGAGCAAUAAGGUCUACGUGUAGUCCGAUGAGAGUACCUCGCGAAUAAGCAUCGGCUAACUCCGUG
This 501-nucleotide ribosomal RNA is filed under the name uncultured bacterium. RNAcentral describes it as "bacterial SSU rRNA". It matches the Rfam family "Bacterial small subunit ribosomal RNA", at positions 15 to 507 of the family's 1533-position model. The record is from RNAcentral.